This 433-nucleotide ribosomal RNA is filed under the name uncultured bacterium. RNAcentral's name for it is "partial 16S ribosomal RNA". It matches the Rfam family "Bacterial small subunit ribosomal RNA", at positions 29 to 507 of the family's 1533-position model. The record is from RNAcentral.
AACGAACGCUGGCGGCAUGCCUAACACAUGCAAGUCGAACGAGACCUUCGGGUCUAGUGGCGCACGGGUGCGUAACGCGUGGGAACCUGCCCUUAGGUUCGGAAUAACUCCCCGAAAGGGGUGCUAAUACCGGAUAAUGUCUUCGGACCAAAGAUUUAUCGCCUUUGGAUGGGCCCGCGUUGGAUUAGCUAGUUGGUAGGGUAAAAGCCUACCAAGGCGUCGAUCCAUAGCUGGUCUGAGAGGAUGAUCAGCCACACUGGGACUGAGACACGGCCCAGACUCCUACGGGAGGCAGCAGUGGGGAAUAUUGGACAAUGGGCGAAAGCCUGAUCCAGCAAUGCCGCGUGAGUGAUGAAGGCCUUAGGGUUGUAAAGCUCUUUUACCCGGGAUGAUAAUGACAGUACCGGGAGAAUAAGCUCCGGCUAACUCCGUG